GCGAAAAACCGCGUUGUCUUUUUCUUUUCCCCCUCUCACGAAACACCCAUUUCCCUCCACUCAACCCUAUUCCGUCUCACUUCCGACCCUUUCUCUCUCUCUCUCUCUCAAUCUCCUGCGCCCCUCUUCUCUAUCUCUCUCAAUCUCAAUCUCACGCAUCCCUUCACUACAAGAAAAAGCCGGUGAUCAUGGAAAUCACCAGCAGCCGUCCGCCCCUGCUUUUGAAACGUGGCUGCCGGUGAAAGGAUGCGAUUAAAACAGAAAACCUGGAGGGAAUUUUUCAUUUCCCUCUCUUAUUGCAGGCGCACACUCCCUCUUCUCUCUCUCUCUUGUCCGGCGCACUUCUCCCUGCCCUCUCCCUUCCCCGAUCUCUCUCUCCCAUCUCGCUUGUUCCUUUGCCUUCCUCGAUCUCUCUCCCUUCCUCUCCCUCCAUCUCUCGAUCUCCCUGAUUUCCCUCCCUCCAUCUCUCGAUCUCCCUGAUCUCCCUGAUCUCCCUGAAAGCAGCCAUUGAUCAAUCUCCCUCCAAUAGCUGACGAGAAUAGAAGAAAUCAGAGCACACGAAGUGAAAGUAUUAAUUUGCUGGAGAACAUAGGAGCAUGGUAUUUUGAGGAAAAGCAGGUCCUAUUAAUUUUUAGGGAUGCAUGCAACGCGGUAUUUGCAAUGCAUUCUGAUUCACCAUCGAUUGCUCGUAGUUUAUUAAAUCAUUUGGAAAAAAUAAACCAUUUUGUUGGUCUACUAAGCCAUGCUGUGGAUGGAAACGUCAUGAAGAUUAUCUCAUUUUGGAAGAUAACCAACCCUCUAAUUUUGUAUUGAUGAUGUUCAGAAGAGAAAUUCUAAGUGAGAAGGUAGACAUCUGGGUAAGUCAAUCAUCACCCUAUAUUUUAUAAAAGACUAAGAUCAGUCUAUCAUUUUUUGAACAAUGCAUGUUAAUGGUGUAUUUUAAUUUGACAUUAUCUACUUAGUAUAACACAUUCCUUUUCUACAUGGCUAGUAGAUUUAGCAUAUGCUGUAAUUGCCUGAUUGUAUACUUUACCAGAAAAUAUAACACUGAGAAUUACAUGGAAAAUCACAAUAGAGGAGAUCAAUUGCUUUAACUUGCAUUUUUCUGUUGUCUUCCAUUUCCUGCUUCCACUUUCAUCACUAACAUCUUUCUCAUUCAUGACUUCUUGCAUAUGAUUAAAAUAGGGAAAAAAUUACUGUGUUGCAUGAUUAGAAAUUGGAAAAAUCUGAAUUUUUUUGUGAAUAAUAUGGCUAAGGUUCGUAACAUCUGCUACCAAGUAAUAAAAAUUGACUGCAUUGAAUCAAAGAAAAAUAGAAUAAACUGGAUUUCUCUUGAAAAUCCCUCAUUGGAAGCUAGGUAUAAAAAAAUGGUUAUGUAAAAGUAACAGUGGGACCUCAUUACGCAAUAGCAGGGCUGUAAUGCCUGAUCUGAAAAUAAAAAAGGCUUGUAAUGAGCCUGUAAUGGCUGUAACAGGUUUGUAAUGGACUGAUAAUGGGGGCAAUAUUUUUUUUUUAUUAAAUUUUUUUUUUGACUGCUAUGGCCCCUAUUGUAUUGUCCAUAUGGCCAGCCAUUAUGGCAGCUGUUACUGUUACCGUUACCGUUACCGAAUACUUUUAUUUGAAUCCUCACCCAAGUGCACGAAUCAAGGUCUUGUAGGGUUGUGAACAUUUAGUAAAUGGUACUAAAAUGCAUGCUAGAUCCUAAAUCAUACAUUAUCUACCUUGGGUAGGAUAUGAGACCUUUUAGAACUAUUGUUGGCAAUGUACCUCCUCCAUAUUUUGCGUGUAAUUUACCUCAAAAGGAAGUCUACUUAUUUUCUUAUCAUAGUGCAUCUGAGAUCCUUGAAACUAUCCUAGAUUAGUGCAUCUGUAAUUCUGCGACGGAUUUCAUGGUAAAAAGAAAUCUUAGAUUCAUGAUAAUUGCCUAAUAGCCAUCAUAUCUAAGAAAUGAGUGGAGUUGUAGUCUUUGGUGUCAUAGUUUCAUGAAUUACCAUAAUAUAGACUGUAGGAUGUUUUUCAUUAAUUUGUUCUUAGAUUAUCUAUACAUUCAAGCCUAUUUAAACAAGUUCUAGUUGGACAGAUGUGUUCAAAAAGUUCUAUCUGAACAAAACCAUAACUUUUGAGGUUAACCAAACAGGCUAGUUUGUAUAGUAAAUUGUGGCCCCCCAAGGAUUGAAAUGUCCUAAUAUUUAGGCUAGAGGAUCUAAACAGUGUAUCUCAUUUGAUCAAAAGCUCAAAUAUUUCACAGGUGUGCCAUCCUGACGUGUGCUCGAAUAGGUAG
This is a long non-coding RNA of Magnolia sinica, 2281 nucleotides long. RefSeq lists it as uncharacterized. Lineage: Eukaryota; Viridiplantae; Streptophyta; Magnoliopsida; Magnoliales; Magnoliaceae. The transcript has 3 exons. The record is from RefSeq and is a predicted model, not a curated record.